Neoarius graeffei (lesser salmon catfish) is the source of this 644-nucleotide long non-coding RNA. RefSeq lists it as uncharacterized. The record is from RefSeq and is a predicted model, not a curated record. Lineage: Eukaryota; Metazoa; Chordata; Actinopteri; Siluriformes; Ariidae. The transcript has 4 exons.
GUGUAGCUCUCAGUUGAGCUCCGGUGAGAGAGAGAGAGAGAGAGAGAGCACACAAACUGAACACACAAACUGAACACAACUCAUUCACAAUUCCCUCAUCUCUACUCCUCAGAGUGAAGAGAAAUGUCCUCCUGCGGCAAAAAACUCAAGGACCUGGAUAACCUGACCAAGGAUGACUCUGAGAGAUUUAAAUCGUCCCUGACGAAUAACUUGGCAGAGGGUUUUGAACCUUUUCCUAGUGGCAGCCUGGAAGAAGCUACAGUGAUCGAUAUUGUGGACCUGUUGGUGGAUGAGUACGAUGAAUCACACAUCACUGAGAUCACUGUACAGAUUCAUAAAGAGAUGCACAACAACCAACCCGCCAAUGACCUGGAACAGGAAUGCGAGGAUCACGUGACAGGAGGUAUCUGAUUGCAGAGGUGGGGCGUAGGUUCAAAGGGGAGCAGACGUCCCGUGAGGUGAUGUGGCGGCCACGGUGUUUCUUUAUUUUUAGUUUAUGCAUUUGACAACACGCAUCCAUUACAUUUUACACACAUGCACACCCUACACAACUGAUAAUACUGAUGUCCAUAUCCUAUUUUGUGAUGUUGUUCUAUUUUUCGUUGUUGUAUGUGAAAUUAAUAAACAUGUUAACCCUUCUAAAA